AUUGAACGCUGGCGGCAGGCCUAACACAUGCAAGUCGAACGAGUGGCGGACGGGUGAGUAAUGUCUGGGAAACUGCCCGAUGGAGGGGGAUCACUACUGGAAACGGUAGCUAAUACCGCAUACCAUCGGAUGUGCCCAGCUGGGAUUAGCUAGUAGGUGGGGGAAUGGCUCACCUAGGCGACGAUCCCUAGCUGGUCUGAGAGGAUGACCAGCCACACGGGAACUGAGAAACGGUCCAGACGCCAACGGGAGGCAGCAGUGGGGAAUAUUGCACAAUGGGCGCAAGCCUGAUGCAGCCAUGCCGCGGGUAUGAAGAAGGCCUUCGGGUUGGAAAGUACUUUCAGCGGGGAGGCGUUACCCGCAGAAGAAGCACCGGCUAACUCCGUGCCAGCAGCCGCGGUAAUUC
Molecule: ribosomal RNA, 406 nt
Filed under: uncultured bacterium
Lineage: Bacteria
Description: partial 16S ribosomal RNA
Rfam family: Bacterial small subunit ribosomal RNA
Source: RNAcentral